UUCGAGAGGGGCAAGUGUUAUUCGUAUUGACUGGGCGUAAAGGGUAUGUAGGCUGUUAAUUCAACUCAUGAAGUGAAAAUACUGUGUAAUAUGUUCAUAGAAACAUUGAUUGAAAGCUUUAACUAGAGUUAGUCUCAGGAUUAUAGAAUUUUUUUUGUAGGGCUAAAAUCCAUUUAAAAAAAAAAAAAUGCCGCUUGUGAAGACAUUAAUCUGGAGGUAACUGACGCUGAGGUACGAAAGCGUGGGGAGCGAAUAGG
RNAcentral lists this ribosomal RNA (257 nucleotides) under uncultured bacterium. RNAcentral's name for it is "partial 16S ribosomal RNA". It matches the Rfam family "Bacterial small subunit ribosomal RNA", at positions 524 to 776 of the family's 1533-position model. The record is from RNAcentral.